This 21-nucleotide non-coding RNA is filed under the name Rattus norvegicus (Norway rat). The record is from RNAcentral. Lineage: Eukaryota; Metazoa; Chordata; Mammalia; Rodentia; Muridae.
UGGAUCUGCAGGCUGCAAGGG